This 433-nucleotide ribosomal RNA is filed under the name uncultured bacterium. RNAcentral describes it as "partial 16S ribosomal RNA". It matches the Rfam family "Bacterial small subunit ribosomal RNA", at positions 29 to 507 of the family's 1533-position model. The record is from RNAcentral.
AGCGAACGCUGGCGGCAGACUUAACACAUGCAAGUCGAGCGGACCUUUCGGGGUCAGCGGCGGACGGGUGAGUAACGCGUGGGAACGUGCCUUCCGGUUCGGAAUAACCCUGGGAAACUAGGGCUAAUACCGGAUACGCCCUUAUGGGGAAAGGUUUACUGCCGGAAGAUCGGCCCGCGUCUGAUUAGCUAGUUGGUGGGGUAACGGCCUACCAAGGCGACGAUCAGUAGCUGGUCUGAGAGGAUGAUCAGCCACACUGGGACUGAGACACGGCCCAGACUCCUACGGGAGGCAGCAGUGGGGAAUAUUGGACAAUGGGCGCAAGCCUGAUCCAGCCAUGCCGCGUGAGUGAUGAAGGCCUUAGGGUUGUAAAGCUCUUUUAUCCGGGACGAUAAUGACGGUACCGGAGGAAUAAGCCCCGGCUAACUUCGUG